Molecule: ribosomal RNA, 254 nt
Filed under: uncultured bacterium
Lineage: Bacteria
Description: partial 16S ribosomal RNA
Rfam family: Bacterial small subunit ribosomal RNA
Source: RNAcentral
UACGGGGGGAGCAAGCGUUGUUCGGAUUUACUGGGCGUAAAGGGCGCGUAGGCGGCCUCUGCAAGUCAAUUGUGAAAUCUCCGGGCUUAACUCGGAAAGGUCAACUGAUACUGCAGGGCUAGAGUGCGGAAGGGGCAACUGGAAUUCUCGGUGUAGCGGUGAAAUGCGUAGAUAUCGUAAGGAAGACCAGUGGCGAAGGCGGGUCUCUGGACAGUUCCUGACGCUGAGGCACGAAGGUCAGGGGAGCAAACGGG